Molecule: ribosomal RNA, 494 nt
Filed under: uncultured bacterium
Lineage: Bacteria
Description: partial 16S ribosomal RNA
Rfam family: Bacterial small subunit ribosomal RNA
Source: RNAcentral
GACGAACGCUGGCGGCGUGCUUAACACAUGCAAGUCGAACGGAAAGGCCUGCUUUCCCUUGUGGAUUGCGGGUACUCGAGUGGCGAACGGGUGAGUAACACGUGAGUGAUCUGCCCCCAACUUGGGUAUAAGCCUGGGAAACUGGGUCUAAUUCCCGAUAGGACUGCAGGGUGGUGCCUGUGGUGGAAAACGAUUUUCUAGUGGUUGGGGAUGAGCUCGCGGCCUAUCAGCUUGUUGGUGGGGUAAUGGCCUACCAAGGCGGCGACGGGUAGCCGGCCUGGGAGGGUGGACGGCCACAUUGGGACUGAGAUACGGCCCAGACUCCUACGGGAGGCAGCAGUGGGGAAUAAUGCACAAUGGGCGGAAGCCUGAUGCAGCGACGCCGCGUGGGGGAUGACGGCCUUCGGGUUGUAAACUCCUUUCGACCGCGAGGAAGCCACCUGGUUGGAAGGGUGGUGACGGUAGUGGUAGAAGAAGCACCGGCUAACUACGUG